Molecule: ribosomal RNA, 398 nt
Filed under: uncultured bacterium
Lineage: Bacteria
Description: partial 16S ribosomal RNA
Rfam family: Bacterial small subunit ribosomal RNA
Source: RNAcentral
AUUUUCCGCAAUGGGCGAAAGCCUGCCGGAGCAACGCCGCGUGAGGGAUGAAGAUCUUCGGCUCGUAAACAACUGUCUUCAGGGACGAUAAUGACGGUACGUGAGGAGGAAGCCACGGCUAACUACGUGCCCGCAGCCGCGGUAGUACGUAGGUGGCGAGCGUUGUCAGGAAUUACUGGGCGUAAAGGGCGGGUAGGCGGCCUUUUAAGUCAGAUGUGAAAUCUCAGGGCUUAACCCGGAAACUGCAUUGGAAACUGGAGGGCUUGAGGAUCGGAGAGGGCAGUGGAAUUCCCAGUGUAGCGGUGAAAUGCGUAGAUAUUGGGAGGAACACCAGGGGCGAAGGCGACUGCCUGGACGACACCUGACGCUGAGGCGCGAAAGCUAGGGGAGCAAACGGG